RNAcentral lists this ribosomal RNA (466 nucleotides) under uncultured bacterium. RNAcentral describes it as "partial 16S ribosomal RNA". It matches the Rfam family "Bacterial small subunit ribosomal RNA", at positions 339 to 795 of the family's 1533-position model. The record is from RNAcentral.
CUACGGGAGGCUCCAGUGGGGAAUAUUGGACAAUGGGGGAAACCCUGAUCCAGCAAUGCCGCGUGUGUGAAGAAGGCCUGCGGGUUGUAAAGCACUUUCGGUUGGGAGGACUGCUUCUAGCACUAAUAUUGUUGGAAGUUGACGUUACCUUCAGAAGAAGCACCGGCUAUCUCCGUGCCAGCAGCCGCGGUAAUACGGAGGGUGCAAGCGUUGAAUCGGAAUUACUGGGCGUAAAGCGCGCGUAGGCGGCUAGAUCAGUCGGGUGUGAAAGCCCCGGGCUUAACCUGGGAACUGCAUCCGAUACUGGCUAGCUUGAGUACAGGAGAGGAGAGUGGAAUUCCACAUGUAGCGGUGAAAUGCGUAGAUAUGUGGAGGAACACCAAUGGCGAAGGCAGCUCUCUGGCCUGAUACUGACGCUGAGGUGCGAAAGCGUGGGGAGCAAACAGGAUUAGAUACCCCAGUAGUC